GCAGUGCUGAUAGCUCAGUUAGUUAGGGCAUGGUGCUGAGAAUGCCGAGGUUGCAGGUUCAAACCCCUUAUGAGACAGCUGCA
Non-coding RNA from Podarcis lilfordi (Lilford's wall lizard), 83 nucleotides. NCBI's taxonomy places the organism in Eukaryota, Metazoa, Chordata, Lepidosauria, Squamata, Lacertidae. The record is from the annotation of a GenBank genome assembly.